RNAcentral lists this ribosomal RNA (497 nucleotides) under uncultured bacterium. RNAcentral describes it as "partial 16S ribosomal RNA". It matches the Rfam family "Bacterial small subunit ribosomal RNA", at positions 28 to 507 of the family's 1533-position model. The record is from RNAcentral.
GACGAACGCUGGCGGCGUGCCUAAUACAUGCAAGUUGAGCGCUGAAGGUUGGUACUUGUACCGACUGGAUGAGCAGCGAACGGGUGAGUAACGCGUGGGGAAUCUGCCUUUGAGCGGGGGACAACAUUUGGAAACGAAUGCUAAUACCGCAUAAAAACUUUAAACACAAGUUUUAAGUUUGAAAGAUGCAAUUGCAUCACUCAAAGAUGAUCCCGCGUUGUAUUAGCUAGUUGGUGAGGUAAAGGCUCACCAAGGCGAUGAUACAUAGCCGACCUGAGAGGGUGAUCGGCCACAUUGGGACUGAGACACGGCCCAAACUCCUACGGGAGGCAGCAGUAGGGAAUCUUCGGCAAUGGACGAAAGUCUGACCGAGCAACGCCGCGUGAGUGAAGAAGGUUUUCGGAUCGUAAAACUCUGUUGGUAGAGAAGAAGGUUGGUGAGAGUGGAAAGCUCAUCAAGUGACGGUAACUACCCAGAAAGGGACGGCUAACUACGUG